GUAGUCGAAAAUUUUCUCGACACUUAAAAGCGUCGAAAAACUCACGUGCUAUGCACGUGAGUUAGGUUGCCCACAAUUUUGAAUUUUUUUAAUGAAAUAAUUAGCGGGUUCGUGUUUUUUCACCCUCAGCUCAGUCGAAUUAGGUUCCCAAUUAAACGUCUUCAAAAAAAAAAAAAAAAAAAAAAAGAAAAAGGUUCCCAAUUAAACUGCCCAUAUUCUAUUCUGCUCUCCUCCAAACUUGGACUCCAUCAUCACUUUCAUCAGCGACAAAAAAAAUCUCAAAUUUUAGGUUAAUUUCUGGGUUUUGCUUGCUAAAUUUCAAGGAAUUUGGGGUUUUGUGGCUCGUCACUUUCAUAAAUUUGAGAACAAGAAUCGAUCUCUUAUUGCGAGAUUGGAAAAGGCAAUGUAGGAGCAACAAGAGAAUAGGUCGGGACACUUGAGCGUCAAAACAAGCAACUAUAUUGUCUAUAACGCCAUCAUCUAUCUAUUUUGGUUUUAGUCUUAUUUAUAUUAGUGAUGUAUUUAUUUAGGGACAAGCUACUAUAAUAUGCGAUUUUUUUUUUAUUUUAGUUAAUUGUGUUGAUGUUUUCUUUUAUUUAUAAAUUUGGUAAUUGUUAGCAA
Molecule: long non-coding RNA, 621 nt
Organism: Chenopodium quinoa (quinoa)
Lineage: Eukaryota; Viridiplantae; Streptophyta; Magnoliopsida; Caryophyllales; Amaranthaceae
Exons: 3
Source: RefSeq, a predicted model, not a curated record